UGAGGAAUAUUGGUCAAUGGACGGAAGUCUGAACCAGCCAAGUAGCGUGCAGGAAGACGGCCCUAUGGGUUGUAAACUGCUUUUAUGCGGGGAUAAAGUGGGCUACGUGUAGCCUAUUGCAGGUACCGCAUGAAUAAGGACCGGCUAAUUCCGUGCCAGCAGCCGCGGUAAUACGGAAGGUCCGGGCGUUAUCCGGAUUCAUUGGGUUUAAAGGGAGCGUAGGCCGCCUUUUAAGCGUGUUGUGAAAUGUAGACGCUCAACGUCUGCACUGCAGCGCGAACUGGUUUCCUUGAGUACGCACAAAGUGGGCGGAAUUCGUGGUGUAGCGGUGAAAUGCUUAGAUAUCACGAAGAACUCCGAUUGCGAAGGCAGCUCACUGGAGCGCAACUGACGCUGAAGCUCGAAAGUGCGGGUAUCGAACAGGAUUAGAUACCCUGGUA
RNAcentral lists this ribosomal RNA (440 nucleotides) under uncultured Prevotella sp. RNAcentral's name for it is "bacterial SSU rRNA". It matches the Rfam family "Bacterial small subunit ribosomal RNA", at positions 355 to 792 of the family's 1533-position model. Lineage: Bacteria; Pseudomonadati; Bacteroidota; Bacteroidia; Bacteroidales; Prevotellaceae. The record is from RNAcentral.